RNAcentral lists this ribosomal RNA (253 nucleotides) under uncultured bacterium. RNAcentral describes it as "partial 16S ribosomal RNA". It matches the Rfam family "Bacterial small subunit ribosomal RNA", at positions 524 to 776 of the family's 1533-position model. The record is from RNAcentral.
UACGAAGGGGGCAAGCGUUGUUCGGAAUGACUGGGCGUAAAGGGCGCGUAGGCGAUUCGUUGCGUCAGAUGUGAAAGCCCCGGGCUCAACCUGGGAACUGCAUUUGAUACGGGCGGGCUUGAAUCCAAGAGAGGGUGGUGGAAUUCCCAGUGUAGAGGUGAAAUUCGUAGAUAUUGGGAAGAACACCAGUGGCGAAGGCGGCCACCUGGCUUGGUAUUGACGCUGAGGCGCGAAAGCGUGGGGAGCAAACAGG